MicroRNA precursor from Oryza sativa Japonica Group (Japanese rice), 179 nucleotides. It matches the Rfam family "MIR812 microRNA precursor family". The record is from Rfam. NCBI's taxonomy places the organism in Eukaryota, Viridiplantae, Streptophyta, Magnoliopsida, Poales, Poaceae.
UUUUUUUUUAUGUCUAAUGUUUGACCGUUCGUCCUGUUUGAAAGAAAAAUAUGAUUAGUAGUUUUGUUGUUAUUAGAUGAUAAAAUAUAAAUACUAAUUUUUUUAAAAGGAUUUCAUAAAGUUUUCAAAUAAGACGGACAGUCAAACGUUGGACACGAAAAUCUAUAACUACACUUAAA